Molecule: long non-coding RNA, 417 nt
Organism: Dryobates pubescens (Downy woodpecker)
Lineage: Eukaryota; Metazoa; Chordata; Aves; Piciformes; Picidae
Exons: 3
Source: RefSeq, a predicted model, not a curated record
UUUUUAAUAACCACAAAUAAAAUGCCACAACUUUUCACAGGAAGGCAUGUCACUGUGGAAGCUCUUCUGCAAUGGGUUCUACUACUUAAAAAAGAAGAAACCCAAAUGACAACUUUAUGAGGACCCACAAUGAAAGACACAACACUCCAUGGAGGAUAAGUACAACAAAAAGAAAUGUAUAAUAGCAGUGCAAAGAAGAGUAAAGAAACAGAUGAAAGCAUGGCUCCCUUAAACAGAGGGCUGGAUUACCAAUUUUUUGGCAGAUCAGGAGAACCUUUCCAGUUGGGCCAAUAACUGAGAUUCAUAGAGUACAGUAACAGGUAUCACAUCGAAGUGACACAGGGGCCACUGUGAACACUUAAAUGACUCCUUCCUCUGCACAAGGCCAUGAAGAACAUGGCACUCUUAUACCCUCAU